GCACAUCACAUGGGGCACAUUUGCCAUUGCUGCACAGCGAGGUUUUCCUUUUCCAGGAGAGCUGCUUUCCCAAAGGAGGAGGGAUGGAAAUGAGGCCCUGGGAAUUUGUUUUGGCUUCUCUUCUGAUUUAUUGCAGGAUGUACAGCAAAUGAAUAACCUGUCUCGCUUGACUGUCCCAGGUUUCUGUCUCCCCUUGCAGGAUUGCUGUGCCCUUUUGCUGUGCCACAGCCUGCCUUUGUAGAGGCCAGGUCUCACAGGCUCUUUUCAUAUUUACACAUCUGUUGUGAGUGGCCACGUGGGACAAAGCACAGGGGCUGCUGCAGGAGUACACCUGAUGUGGGGAUGUGGAUCUGCUCCAGCAUCAGCUGCUCUGGGGGACCUGGCACCUCCUCUGCUUGAGUGUCACACAGUGCACGGGGAGGCUCUGCCAGAGCAGCCGAACCAGGAGCGGCGUCUGUGCGCUUUGUUUGUGACUGACACCUCUGCGAUGAAUGAUUGUCAUCUGCUAUAAAUGCUGACUUGUGCUCAGUCGCCACAUCAAACCAGUGAACUCAUGAGAAUCACAUGCCAGAGCACGUCACUGGUGCUCUGUGUGACCUCUGCAGCUGCCCCUGAGCUCCUGAGGCUCCCCCGGCCCGGCUCUUCCUCACCCCGGAACGCUGCCCGGCACCCUUCAAAGGGCAUCUUCUUAACUCAGCCUGACUGAAACUGAAAAGAGCCACUAGCAGGGCAGUUCCCACACGGGAGCAGAUUAAAGCUGACAGCUGGGAGAAGGGAGAGGAGCCGUUGGGUGGAAGUGAUGGGGAGAGGUGCGAGGGCCGGGAGUUCUCACCCCGUGAGCCUAGCAGGAGCUUUCUGGCUCAAAAUGCUUGCAAUGGCUGCAGGGGGUAUCAAAGAAAGGAGAGCCGUGAGACAGAUCAGCUUUCCAUUCACCAUUUUUGUCUUCCCGGUGCAAAUGGUCCCUUUGGAGGCUGCCAGGGACUGGAGUUUGGACAGCUGGAAGCAGCUGGCCAGUGGAAGAUGAAGAUGAGACAGCACUUCUGCUGACGGGCUGUAUGGAAAAGGCUUUUGUAGGGUAGAGCUAAG
This is a non-coding RNA of Pseudopodoces humilis (Tibetan ground-tit), 1086 nucleotides long. The record is from RefSeq and is a predicted model, not a curated record. Lineage: Eukaryota; Metazoa; Chordata; Aves; Passeriformes; Paridae.